AGUGAUGCUUCUGAAAUGUAAAUUGCACCCCUGGGUUGAAACCCACCAAUGGGUUGCCUAUGCACGGAGAGUAAAGUCAUCAGAAGUCUUCACACAUGGCCUGCAGGGACCCCACAUCUGUCCCCCACAUCUGACCCCCCUUUUCUGUCUCCUCCCCUCCUACCUCUUCUCUGCCUCUUCUCCCCACUCCUCACUUAGCUUCCGCUCAGUUACCCACCUUUUCUUCCUUAGAAACUCCACACUCAUUGGCCGGGCGUGGUGGCCCACCCUUGUAAUCCCAGCAACUCAAGAGGCUGAGGCAGGAGGAUCACAAGUUCAAAGCCAGCCACAACUUAGCAAGACCCUGCCUCAAAAUAAAAAGUGAAAAGAACUGGGGAUGCGCUCAGUGGUUAAAUAUCCCUGGAUUCAAUCCCCGGUGCAAAAAAAAAAAAAAAGAAAAGAAACACCAAGCUUGUCCUUCCUCAGGGCCUUUGUCCCUGCUGUCCCCCAACACAGAGUAGUCACCGUCUUCUUACGUGGAUGGACUGAUAGGCAACUGAGUGUUCUCUGAACUUCGAAUUUCUUCAGACUAAGUGGAUAUAUGGAAGAUCAUGAUGCUUCAAGAUUUGAUGCUUCAUCCAAUGCUCUGAGUGACCCGAGGCUUCAGCCCAGAUUAAGACACUCGAUAUUAUUUUAAGGACAGAUAGUGAUGAGGGAGAGGAGACAACUUUGGGAAGAUUGUGGGUAUUGAUAUUUUUGGUCCUCAAAUGACACCUCUUGAGCCUGCACAAAAUGUUAGUCCUGACGGGCAGUGACAACCCUCCUCACCACUUGAAUGAAAAUGAGAUGGAAAUACAGGAAGGAGGGGAUGGGAAUGCGAGGCAAACAGGAAACCCGGGGUUAUUUUUUUACCGUAAAUUAGCCAAACUCCCACACCUGUGCUGAGCACUUCCUCUGCUGGGUGUCGGGAGGUGCAGCAAGAAAGCAGCCCCGGGCCCUCCCUUUCUCCAAGAAGCUCAUGGUCACCCUGCUGGACACUGGGUUGGAAAGAUCGCAGAGGGGCACAGCAAGGCACAGAAAAACCAUGCUUCAUCCUCCACCCGGGAUUCCUCAAGGGUCAUCUUAAAACUCUAACAGGGAACCGUGUCACUCUUCAGCGGUGGCCACACUGGGAAGGAAAAGGCAGCCCUUGCUGCGAAUCGAACCUGAGUCACAGGGCAAAACCUCUCUGACAUGAAAUGAUGGGGGAGAGGACCACAGGACCACACCACCGGGCGUGCUGCGUGUUCCUGAGCCUGGCACGGGCCGGCUGGCAAAGCUGCGGAUGAUCACUUUGCUCUCGAGUCCCUCCGUGAACUUUCUUUAUCCAAUGGAGACUCUUCUUGGGAGAUGUUGAAAAGUGAAUACCUGCUCAAAUCCAGACUGCGUUUUUAGCUUCAUUUAAAUCACUAUCAUUAUGCCCUGUCUUCCAUAAUGAUGUACCUGGGUAGGCCAAAAUGCCUCACAGGUGCUGGCCUUUAAUGAGGAUCUUGGUCCCAGAGAUGUAAUUUGACCAGUCUGCCGGGAAGCUCUCCCCAGCCCAGCCGGCCCCGCCCC
Molecule: long non-coding RNA, 1575 nt
Filed under: Marmota monax (woodchuck)
Lineage: Eukaryota; Metazoa; Chordata; Mammalia; Rodentia; Sciuridae
Source: RNAcentral